This 468-nucleotide ribosomal RNA is filed under the name uncultured bacterium. Its description in RNAcentral is "partial 16S ribosomal RNA". It matches the Rfam family "Bacterial small subunit ribosomal RNA", at positions 28 to 507 of the family's 1533-position model. The record is from RNAcentral.
GACGAACGCUGGCGGCGUGCUUAACACAUGCAAGUCGAACGGAAAGGCCCUGCUUUUGUGGGGUGCUCGAGUGGCGAACGGGUGAGUAACACGUGAGUAACCUGCCCUUGACUUUGGGAUAACUUCAGGAAACUGGGGCUAAUAUCGGAUAGGAGCUCCUGCUGCAUGGUGGGGGUUGGAAAGUUUCGGCGGUUGGGGAUGGACUCGCGGCUUAUCAGCUUGUUGGUGGGGUAGUGGCUUACCAAGGCUUUGACGGGUAGCCGGCCUGAGAGGGUGACCGGCCACAUUGGGACUGAGAUACGGCCCAGACGCCUACGGGAGGCAGCAGUGGGGAAUAUUGCACAAUGGGCGGAAGCCUGAUGCAGCAACGCCGCGUGCGGGAUGACGGCCUUCGGGUUGUAAACCGCUUUCGCCUGUGACGAAGCGUGAGUGACGGUAAUGGGUAAAGAAGCACCGGCUAACUACGUG